UUUAAUUGAAGAGUUUGAUCAUGGCUCAGAUUGAACGCUGGCGGCAGGCUUAACACAUGCAAGUCGAGCGGUAGCACAAGAGAGCUUGCUCUCUGGGUGACGAGCGGCGGACGGGUGAGUAAUGUCUGGGAAACUGCCUGAUGGAGGGGGAUAACUACUGGAAACGGUAGCUAAUACCGCAUAACGUCGCAAGACCAAAGAGGGGGACCUUCGGGCCUCUUGCCAUCAGAUGUGCCCAGAUGGGAUUAGCUAGUAGGUGGGGUAAUGGCUCACCUAGGCGACGAUCCCUAGCUGGUCUGAGAGGAUGACCAGCCACACUGGAACUGAGACACGGUCCAGACUCCUACGGGAGGCAGCAGUGGGGAAUAUUGCACAAUGGGCGCAAGCCUGAUGCAGCCAUGCCGCGUGUGUGAAGAAGGCCUUCGGGUUGUAAAGCACUUUCAGCGAGGAGGAAGGUGGUGAGCUUAAUACGCUCAUCAAUUGACGUUACUCGCAGAAGAAGCACCGGCUAACUCCGUGCCAGCAGCCGCGGUAAUACGGAGGUGCAAGCGUUAAUCGGAAUUACUGGGCGUAAAGCGCACGCAGGCGGUUUGUUAAGUCAGAUGUGAAAUCCCGGGCUCAACCUGGGAACUGCAUUUGAAACUGGCAAGCUAGAGUCUCGUAGAGGGGUAGAAUUCAGGUGUAGCGGUGAAAUGCGUAGAGAUCUGGAGGAAUACCGGUGGCGAAGGCGGCCCCCUGGACGAAGACUGACGCUCAGGUGCGAAAGCGUGGGGAGCAAACAGGAUUAGAUACCCUGGUAGUCCACGCUGUAAACGAUGUCGAUUUGGAGGUUGUGCCCUUGAGGCGUGGCUUCCGGAGCUAACGCGUUAAAUCGACCGCCUGGGGAGUACGGCCGCAAGGUUAAAACUCAAAUGAAUUGACGGGGGCCCGCACAAGCGGUGGAGCAUGUGGUUUAAUUCGAUGCAACGCGAAGAACCUUACCUACUCUUGACAUCCAGAGAACUUUCCAGAGAUGGAUUGGUGCCUUCGGGAACUCUGAGACAGGUGCUGCAUGGCUGUCGUCAGCUCGUGUUGUGAAAUGUUGGGUUAAGUCCCGCAACGAGCGCAACCCUUAUCCUUUGUUGCCAGCGGUUCGGCCGGGAACUCAAAGGAGACUGCCAGUGAUAAACUGGAGGAAGGUGGGGAUGACGUCAAGUCAUCAUGGCCCUUACGAGUAGGGCUACACGUGCUACAAUGGCGUAUACAAAGAGAAGCGACCUCGCGAGAGCAAGCGGACCUCAUAAAGUACGUCGUAGUCCGGAUUGGAGUCUGCAACUCGACUCCAUGAAGUCGGAAUCGCUAGUAAUCGUAGAUCAGAAUGCUACGGUGAAUACGUUCCCGGGCCUUGUACACACCGCCCGUCACACCAUGGGAGUGGGUUGCAAAAGAAGUAGGUAGCUUAACCUUCGGGAGGGCGCUUACCACUUUGUGAUUCAUGACUGGGGUGAAGUCGUAACAAGGUAACCGUAGGGGAACCUGCGGUUGGAUCACCUCCUUACCUAAAGA
This 1545-nucleotide ribosomal RNA is filed under the name Serratia marcescens. RNAcentral describes it as "bacterial SSU rRNA". It matches the Rfam family "Bacterial small subunit ribosomal RNA". The record is from RNAcentral. Lineage: Bacteria; Pseudomonadati; Pseudomonadota; Gammaproteobacteria; Enterobacterales; Yersiniaceae.